AUUUUUUCCCGCCCAACCAUUUACCGGCGGUAAAGAGCUUAGGGCAGUUACGAAAAUGGCAUCCUUUCCCUCUCCGCGCGGUUGCCGUCUCUCCCUCUUUCCAUCAUUUUCAGACACCGGCCCACUCUGGCGUUGUCUCUCCCACAGCUAUGCCGCCGAGUGGAGUGAAUGAUUGCCCCCAUGCCCCAAAUGACUGCUUCUUGAUGUUGUGUUGUGGUGGUGAGACGUGACUUCUUCUUCUUCUUCUUCUUGAAUCGUGAGUUCAUAAUACAGUCUCACAGACAAGUUCACAAGGGCCAAAGGUCGAUGGUCAAUGCCCCAAUGGACGCUUAAUUUUGGGGUUUGUGGGCACUUGGCAGUGAAAUCAAAGGACGACUGAUCAUCGAUGAGGCCACGAGGGCCAAACCAAUGGGUGAUGGCUGGCCGAUGGUCCAUGGACAUUCACUCGCUCAGGGAGUUACAGAGGUUGAUGAGAUGAGAUGACAUAAAUGAUCGUUGGUGCUUGAUUGUUACUAUUUAUAGAGGAAGUUUAUAUUGUAUCGAUGAACAAAACUGAUGUUUGUCCUAUUGUUCAUCUGUAAAAAUACAAUGGGGUGUUGUAAAAAAUGCUCUUAAUUAGAGCGUAUCAACAGAAAUA
Molecule: long non-coding RNA, 637 nt
Organism: Nymphaea colorata (pocket water lily)
Lineage: Eukaryota; Viridiplantae; Streptophyta; Magnoliopsida; Nymphaeales; Nymphaeaceae
Exons: 3
Source: RefSeq, a predicted model, not a curated record